ACAGAAAGUUCCAACCUUAGUAACUUAGGACAAAAUUAAAAACAAAGAAAUGAACCCCAAGGUCUUAAAAAUCUCUCUAUUAGUCAAGUUGAGCAUACCAGAUACCCUGGAUUUUUACAUCCUUAGGUACCUUUGCCCCCAAAUCAGUAUCAGAUGGCUGAAUGCUCUCAAACACUCCAAUCACCUCACCAGUCUCUGGCUUGCUCUGUGUAACACUCAGUGUGAUCUUUCCUGUUGAAGACGAAGUGUUCUUUACGUUCUCCUUCUGGAGCUCCUCCUCGUCUCCUCUCCCUCCAGCUGGCAAUGCAACAGCAUUAUCGUAACCAGUAGAUCCACCCCUUCCCUUUGGGUCAAGGAAUGAUGAUCCUCUGUAUGACGGCACAAGGAACUCUCCACUAAAGCUGUCGGGCUUUCCAGAUGCCACGAGCUGUUUGAUUGUGAAGAGGAAGGGAACGCGCUCACCACCAGGAAGCUGAACUGUAACAGCAGCAUAAUCAAUUCCGUCUUUCUCCUCAAACUUAACGGUACCAUCAGGAGAUACUUCAAAGGGUCCUUCAAUCUCAUCAAGAGUGUAGGUUAAGCGCGUCAUUAGCUUGGUUUUUUGGAAUUCUGGGGGUGCAUUCUUGCUUACGCUCUCUG
RNAcentral lists this long non-coding RNA (639 nucleotides) under Nicotiana tabacum (common tobacco). RNAcentral's name for it is "long non-coding RNA (NTAB_LNC016959)". The record is from RNAcentral. Lineage: Eukaryota; Viridiplantae; Streptophyta; Magnoliopsida; Solanales; Solanaceae.